RNAcentral lists this ribosomal RNA (579 nucleotides) under uncultured bacterium. Its description in RNAcentral is "partial 16S ribosomal RNA". It matches the Rfam family "Bacterial small subunit ribosomal RNA", at positions 355 to 932 of the family's 1533-position model. The record is from RNAcentral.
UGGGGAAUUUUGGACAAUGGGGGAAACCCUGAUCCAGCCGUCCCGCGUGUGCGAUGAAGGCCUUCGGGUUGUAAAGCACUUUUGGCAGGAAAGAAACGUCGCGGGUUAAUACCCCGCGAAACUGACGGUACCUGCAGAAUAAGCACCGGCUAACUACGUGCCAGCAGCCGCGGUAAUACGUAGGGUGCAAGCGUUAAUCGGAAUUACUGGGCGUAAAGCGUGCGCAGGCGGUUCGGAAAGAAAGAUGUGAAAUCCCAGAGCUUAACUUUGGAACUGCAUUUUUAACUACCGGGCUAGAGUGUGUCAGAGGGAGGUGGAAUUCCGCGUGUAGCAGUGAAAUGCGUAGAUAUGCGGAGGAACACCGAUGGCGAAGGCAGCCUCCUGGGAUAACACUGACGCUCAUGCACGAAAGCGUGGGGAGCAAACAGGAUUAGAUACCCUGGUAGUCCACGCCCUAAACGAUGUCAACUAGCUGUUGGGGCCUUCGGGCCUUGGUAGCGCAGCUAACGCGUGAAGUUGACCGCCUGGGGAGUACGGUCGCAAGAUUAAAACUCAAAGGAAUUGACGGGGUCAUAGCUG